Molecule: ribosomal RNA, 753 nt
Filed under: uncultured bacterium
Lineage: Bacteria
Description: bacterial SSU rRNA
Rfam family: Bacterial small subunit ribosomal RNA
Source: RNAcentral
UUAAGUCUGAUGUGAAAGCCCACGGCUCAACCGUGGAGGGUCAUUGGAAACUGAAAAACUUGAGUGCAGAAGAGGAAAGUGGAAUCCCAUGUGUAGCGGUGAAAUGCGCAGAGAUAUGGAGGAACACCAGUGGCGAAGGCGACUUUCUGGUCUGUAACUGACGCUGAUGUGCGAAAGCGUGGGGAUCAAACAGGAUUAGAUACCCUGGUAGUCCACGCCGUAAACGAUGAGUGCUAAGUGUUAGGGGGUUUCCGCCCCUUAGUGCUGCAGCUAACGCAUUAAGCACUCCGCCUGGGGAGUACGGCCGCAAGGCUUAAACUCAAAGGAAUUGACGGGGACCCGCACAAGCGGUGGAGCAUGUGGUUUAAUUCGAAGCAACGCGAAGAACCUUACCAAAUCUUGACAUCCUUUGACCGCUCUAGAGAUAGAGUCUUCCCCUUCGGGGGACAAAGUGACAGGUGGUGCAUGGUUGUCGUCAGCUCGUGUCGUGAGAUGUUGGGUUAAGUCCCGCAACGAGCGCAACCCUUAAGCUUAGUUGCCAUCAUUCAGUUGGGCACUCUAAGUUGACUGCCGGUGACAAACCGGAGGAAGGUGGGGAUGACGUCAAAUCAUCAUGCCCCUUAUGAUUUGGGCUACACACGUGCUACAAUGGACAAUACAAAGGGCAGCGAAACCGCGAGGUCAAGCAAAUCCCAUAAAGUUGUUCUCAGUUCGGAUUGUAGUCUGCAACUCAAGUACAUGAAGCUGGAAUCG